This 468-nucleotide ribosomal RNA is filed under the name uncultured bacterium. RNAcentral describes it as "partial 16S ribosomal RNA". It matches the Rfam family "Bacterial small subunit ribosomal RNA", at positions 28 to 507 of the family's 1533-position model. The record is from RNAcentral.
GACGAACGCUGGCGGCGUGCUUAACACAUGCAAGUCGAACGGAAAGGCCCUGCUUUUGUGGGGUGCUCGAGUGGCGAACGGGUGAGUAACACGUGAGUAACCUGCCCUUGACUUUGGGAUAACUUCAGGAAACUGGGGCUAAUACCGGAUAGGAGCUCCUGCUGCAUGGUGGGGGUGGGAAAGUUUCGGCGGUUGGGGAUGGACUCGCGGCUUAUCAGCUUGGUGGUGGGGUAGUGGAUUACCAAGGCUUUGACGGGUAGCCGGGCUGAGAGGGUGACCGGCCACAUUGGGUCUGAGAUACGGCACAGACUCCUGCGGGAGGCAGCAGUGGGGAAUAUUGCACAAUGGGCGGAAGCCUGAUGCAGCAACGCCGCGUGCGGGAUGACGGCCUUCGGGUUGUAAACCGCUUUCGCCUGUGACGAAGCGUGAGUGACGGUAAUGGGUAAAGAAGCACCGGCUAACUACGUG